Molecule: unclassified non-coding RNA, 330 nt
Filed under: soil metagenome
Description: partial contains 5.8S ribosomal RNA, internal transcribed spacer 2, and large subunit ribosomal RNA
Rfam family: 5.8S ribosomal RNA (bases 5-122)
Source: RNAcentral
GGAUUGAAGAACGCAGCGAAAUGCGAUAAGUAGUGUGAAUUGCAGAAUUCAGUGAAUCAUCGAAUCUUUGAACGCACAUUGCGCCCCUUGGUAUCCCGAGGGGCAUGCCUGUUCGAGCGUCAUUUCACCACUCAAGCCUGGCUUGGUGUUGGGCGACGUCCCCUUUGGGGACGCGCCUUGAAACGCUCGGCGGCGUGGCACCGGCUUUAAGCGUAGCAGAAUCUUUCGCUUUGGAAGUCGGGCCCCGUCUGCCGGAAGACCUACUCGCAAGGUUGACCUCGGAUCAGGCAGGGAUACCCGCUGAACUUAAGCAUAUCAAUAAGCGGAGGA